This 69-nucleotide transfer RNA is filed under the name Eudynamys scolopaceus (Asian koel). RNAcentral describes it as "tRNA-Ala". It matches the Rfam family "tRNA". Rfam says of the family: Transfer RNA (tRNA) molecules are approximately 80 nucleotides in length. The record is from RNAcentral. Lineage: Eukaryota; Metazoa; Chordata; Aves; Cuculiformes; Cuculidae.
AAGAUUCUAGCUUAAUUAAAGUACUUGAGUUGCAUUCAUGAGAUGUAGGUUAAUGUCCUACGGGUCUUA